This 493-nucleotide ribosomal RNA is filed under the name uncultured bacterium. RNAcentral's name for it is "partial 16S ribosomal RNA". It matches the Rfam family "Bacterial small subunit ribosomal RNA", at positions 30 to 523 of the family's 1533-position model. The record is from RNAcentral.
AUUGAACGCUGGCGGCAUGCCUUACACAUGCAAGUCGAACGGUAACAGGUUAAGCUGACGAGUGGCGAACGGGUGAGUAAUAUAUCGGAACGUGCCCAGUCGUGGGGGAUAACGUAGCGAAAGCUACGCUAAUACCGCAUACGAUCUACGGAUGAAAGCGGGGGAUCGCAAGACCUCGCGCGAUUGGAGCGGCCGAUAUCAGAUUAGGUUGUUGGUGAGGUAAAAGCUCACCAAGUCUGCGAUUUGUAGCUGGUCUGAGAGGACGACCAGCCACACUGGAACUGAGACACGGUCCAGAAUCCUACGGGAGGCAGCAGUGGGGAAUUUUGGACAAUGGACGCAAGUCUGAUCCAGCAAUGCCGCGUGCAGGACGAAGGCCUUCGGGUUGUAAACUGCUUUUGUACGGAACGAAACGGUGAGCUAUAAUAUAGUUGGCUAAUGACGGUACCGCAAGAAUAAGCACCGGCUAACUACGUGCCAGCCGCCGCGGUAA